Molecule: long non-coding RNA, 2771 nt
Organism: Pteropus alecto (black flying fox)
Lineage: Eukaryota; Metazoa; Chordata; Mammalia; Chiroptera; Pteropodidae
Exons: 2
Source: RefSeq, a predicted model, not a curated record
UUUCUCUUCUCUUCCCCUCAGUUGGAAAAAAAAAAAAAAGAAAGAAAAAGAAGAAAAAGAAGAAAAAAAUUGUCAAGCCCCCGAACUGAAGGUUACGAGCGGCCCGUCAGCAGCCCACAUGUAACCGAACUGUCGUGUUUCAUGGCUUUUUGCCACUCCAGCUGUCAAUCAAAGCCCGGAAUGUCAAGGACAAGAAGAGACCAGCUUAACUCAGAGAGCACUCCCUCCAAGCGGCGCGGACAAGGGCCAUCUCGGAGAGUCUUUGAGGGCCGCGGCGGAAUCGGGUGGGAGGAAAUGAGGGAGCCGUUUGGGUAUUUGAUGUCUGAUUUCGCUAAAGGUGUGUGUAUGUGUGUGUGUGCGCGCGCGCACUCGCGCGCACCACUGGUGUGCGCCUCCGAAGUGGAUCUCAGCGCUGGGAAGCACAGGAGGGAAAGACUGGGAGAAAGAGAGGGGGAGAGGAUUCCAAGCGAGGAAGAUUGGCCCUGCAUUCCCUGCCCAGCUUUGUUGUGGUCGCCCGGGGCACAGAGGCCCUGGCGCGGUAACGCCGGCUAAUGGCUGGGUUAAUUACACGGGGCAUUUUCACGGCAUCUGGAAGAUAGGGCUGACUCGGAAUGAACUUUUCCAAAAAGAGAAGGGAGUAGAGUGCAGGGGAGGUAAGGUAACUAUCCCACUCAGUUUGUGUAGAAAGUAGUUCUGGCCAGUGAAUCGCCCAAUCUCUGGCGGGAGCUGCAUCCAGCCUCACCUCCGCGUCGUGGGUUUCCCGGCGGCCGCGCGUCAAUCACUUCGAGCCCGAGCUGGGGGCGGAGCUACGGUCACCGAGCGCGCACUGCGCCGCAGACUCCGCGGCCCCUCGGCUCCCGGCAGUCCAGCAGCCCGGCCCUGCAUUCGGAGUGAGCCCUCUUCCAACUCCUCGCUCUCUACUGCGUUUAUGGUCCCCUGCCCAGAGAUCGAAAACAGACUGUUCUUCAACAGCCGCCUCCCUCUCCAACUUUGAACCCAUUCUGGAGGGUAGAAAGUAGAAUAUACUCCGCGCGUGGUUUCGGCCCGACUUCCCAGGGGAUGGGGACACAGCGAAAUAAAGUACUCUGUGUGUGUGUGUGUGUGUGUGUGUGUGUGUGUGUGUGUGUGUGAGAGAGAGAGAGAGAGAGAGAGAGAGAGAGAGAGAGAGAGAGAGAGAAUAUGAAUGAAAGAAGGGCGGAUGGGGGGGCUUUUGCGGAAAGCUCUCUUUCCGUCUUCUCAACUUCACUGUAAGCUUCUUUCAGGCUACACUCAACUAGGCUUAGAUCGCAGCCUGCAGAGACUCCAAGUGGAGUUGGAGAAAUUUGGCUCCGUUUUAAUAGGGCUGGGAGAUGAGCUCCGGAGGUCAAUAAAGCCCUCCAAAAAUGAUGAAUGAUUGAACACCUGUGAUGAUGAUAGUGAUUACCAGAGCAAUUAAACAGUUUGAUUAAAUGAGCCAUCAUAACAAUGAUGUCUGCGGGAAAUCGGCUCUCACAUAUAAAGAUAGUGCGGAGGGCCUGGCAGAAGCGAGGGUACUGCGAUGCCAGGGAGCAGGGCUGCGGACUGCGAAGUAUUUGCCAGGGUGGCCCGAGCAGGGACAGUCGGGCGCGCGGAGCUUCAGGGAGAAAAAUCUAGCCCAGGUUUUCAGCCACUCUUAGAGCCGGCUUGAAGCCUGCAAGAGCCGACGGGUAUGAAACCUGCAGGUUGAGGAGAAGUGUCCUUCUCCCUCCUCCUCAUUUUUUUUUUUUUUCCCUAGAAGAACUCCAAGAUUAAAAGCAUCCUUCUUAUUUGUUGCUGGGUUGCUGGUCGACAUAUAUGUGUGUGUAUAUGUGUGUGUGUGUGUACAUACAUAUAUGUGUGUGCGUGUGUAUAUAAAUAUAUAUAUAUUUUAAGGUGAGUAACAAAGAAAGGAAGAGCUUCCAGAAUUUUAUUUCAAGCGGCAGUUAAGUGAAUUCAGUUUAGCCGGCGUAAAGGAUGGGAGCGGGGUCGGGUGGGGGACCAAUCGGGUCUUGCUGUGGAGCGUUUUCGACUUUGCAGAGGUCUUGAUAUUGGUGGACCCAAGUUCCCCGUGCAGCGCCGCUAGCUGAGAAAUUUAUACUCAGUUUUUCAGUUUUUAUUUUUCUAAUUGUUGCUUUUCUCAAUAUUGCGUGUUUAUUGUUGCCAAUGGGAUUAUUGUUUUAAAUGUCCUGUAUAGUAAGAGCUAAUUACUUCUCUUUUUAAAAAGAAACCCCGUUUCCUUGAUAAACGCUCCUUCUGUAAAGAUCAACUUUUAACCGAACCUCUGCAUCACAGAGUUUAAAGGUUCGACAUUACUAUCGCCUGCUUCUUUUACCACCGCUUCUUUUUUUCAUAGUGAUACUGUGGAGUUAGCAUCUCUACAGCUUCUAUUUCGAAAAAUUGCACUAGUGUUUUUUUUAAAGACUAUUUCUUCCGAAGCAGUGCAUCCGUGUAAAAACAAUUCAGACCGAUAGAUGAUUUCUAUAUUUUCAAACAGUUAUUAAGCUAAUAAUAGGUUGAUCACUCCGUGAUAAUUUUGGGUUUUACAAAAGAAAAAAUGUUUAAAAUCUACUCUCAUGUGUUUUCAUUCUUUGGGCGAUGCAGAAGGCAUUUUAACCUGAACUCCUUCUCCCUCUCUUUCUCUUUUUCUCUCAUAUUCUGUAACUUCUUUUCCAUUUUAUUGAAUAUAGUAAAGCAAACAACAAGGACAAUCUGGUUUGAGGAAAGAUAGGACAUUUUAAGAUACUAUUAAAGAAACAAACAAACAAAAAAGCCAA